Long non-coding RNA from Diceros bicornis minor, 272 nucleotides. RefSeq lists it as uncharacterized. The transcript is spliced from 2 exons. Lineage: Eukaryota; Metazoa; Chordata; Mammalia; Perissodactyla; Rhinocerotidae. The record is from RefSeq and is a predicted model, not a curated record.
GGCCCGGGGUUCGGAUCUCAGGCGCGCACCGACGCACCGCUUCUCCGGCCAUGCUGAGGCCGCAUCCCACAUACAGCAACUAGAAGGAUGUGCAGCUAUGACAUACAGCUAUCUACUGGGGCUUUGGGGGGAAAAUAAAUAAAUAAAUAAAAAUUUAAAAAAAAGAAAUCUAUUACAUGUAUGCUAUUUUCAAAUACCUGUAACUUAACAUCAUCCCCCAAACCCAGUUUCAUAAGAGGGAUUCCAGAUUCCCAAUACAGUUUAAAACCAAA